This 166-nucleotide unclassified non-coding RNA is filed under the name uncultured Umbelopsis. Its description in RNAcentral is "sequence contains ITS1". Lineage: Eukaryota; Fungi; Mucoromycota; Umbelopsidomycetes; Umbelopsidales; Umbelopsidaceae. The record is from RNAcentral.
CCAAAAGAUAAUCUUUCUUCGAAAGAUCUUUUCCAUUGUGCUGGCUUUGACCGUUUGUACUUUUGGGACUUAAACAUGGCUUCUUGUAAGUCGGUCCCAAAAAUAUUAUACCAACCUUAUGAAAAUUGACUGAACAAGUAAAACAAUUGAUAAUUUUGUUUAAAAA